RNAcentral lists this long non-coding RNA (890 nucleotides) under Capsella grandiflora. RNAcentral's name for it is "long non-coding RNA (CGRA_LNC000344)". The record is from RNAcentral. Lineage: Eukaryota; Viridiplantae; Streptophyta; Magnoliopsida; Brassicales; Brassicaceae.
ACUGUGGUUAUGACAUAUAUAAGUUUCUUUCUUCAAGCAACGAGGAUUUUAAACAAUAUGUAACAUAGAAAAAAAAAAUGUAAACCAAAAUGAACACAUCGAUGCUGAAAAAAUCUAACCCGAAAACAGAGGAACACGAAACCAUUUUUUUAAUCUUCGAUUACCACCACCACCAGUGAAGAUGACGAAUCAGAAUACUCUAUAUCUUUCUGUCAGAACCAAAUCAAGUAAAUCACAAAACUAUCACAUAGAUGAUAUCGAUGAAAAUUAAACAAAAUUGAUCGAUCUCUUGACCAUAAAAACACGAGGAUUAAAUUAAAUGACAAUCACAAUAAUUGAAUCAAACAACAAAGAAACACAAUUCGUAAAGAGAUGAACUAACAGAACCCUAAAUGAUUGAUAAUCGAAUCAAACAACAAAGAAACACAAUUGGUAAACAGAUCAAUCGACUAAACCCUAAAUUUUUAGUAAUCGAAUCAAGCAACAAAGAAGCACAAUUCGUAAUCAGAUCUAUUGGUGAAACCCUAAAUGUUUAAAAAUCAAAUCAAGCAACUAAGAAACACAAAUUCGUAACCAGAUCUAUUGACGGAACCUUUAAAAAUCGAAUCAAGCAAUUGAGAAACACAAUUCGUAAACAGAGCAAUCGAAGGAACCCCAAAAUGAUUAAACUGACCUUAGAAAUGAUAACCUUAGCGACUGAUUUAGUUAAAGCCAUUGCUAGUGAGUGUUCUAGCACCGACACCAAACUUCUGUAGACAAUUUGCGAAAAGGAGAAAUUUAGGGUUUGAGAAAAAUGAGAGAUAGAUAUGUUACGAUCAUUUCUUCUCACGACCUUUUUCUUUUGUUAUAUAGAGAACUCAAAUUUUGAAAAAGCAAAAUCUCAAGACAAA